AUUUGCUUUCUGACACUAGCAACAGGAAUAGUAAAUAUUUUUGCAUAAAAGUUCAGGAGCUAUGAAGAACACAAAAGUAUCAAAAGCCCAACACAGUAUUGCAUCAGGAACAGUGUGGCCAGCAGGUCCAGGGAAGUGAUUCUUCCCCUGGACUCAGCGCUGGUGAGGCCACAUCUCGAGUACUGUGUCCAGUUCUGGGCCCCUCAGUUCAGGAAGGAUAUUGAGGUGCUGGAGCAGGUCCAGAGGAGAGCAACCAGGCUGGUGAAGGGACUCAAGCACAAGUCCUAUGAGGAGAGGCUGAGGGAGCUGGGGCUGUUCAGCCUGGAGAAGAGGAGGUUCAGGGGAGACCUCAUCACUCUCUACAACUACCUGCAAGGAGGUUGUAGCCAGGUUGGGGGUUGGUCUCUUCUCCCAGGCAACUGUCAGCAAGACAAGAGGGCAUGGUCUCAAGUUGUGCCAGGGGAGGUUUAGGUUAGAUAUUAGAAAGCACUUCUUUACAGAGAGGGUGGUCAGACAUUGGAAUGGGCUGCCCAGGGAAGUAGUAGAUUCUCCAUCCCUGGAGAUUUUUAAAAAGAGACUGGAUGUGGCACUUAGUGCCAUGGUCUAGUAACCGCAGUGGUAGUGGAUCAAGGGUUGGACUUGAUGAUCUCGAAGGUCCCUUCCAACCCAGCUGAUUCUGUGAUUCUGUGAUCUCACAAGUUGGUGGGAGUGAAGUGACUUUAUGAUUGAAGUCCACCAGACUUCCUAAGCUAAGCAGAGGAGUUUCAUCAGGUAUGAGUGCCAUAAAACUACAUUACUGUAGGUGAUUCUGUUAAAUCUUUCGGCAUGAUGUACAAUGAGACUCAGUGAAGCGGGGCUGAUCAGUCUUAGGAGGAGACUAAAGUAACAUCUUACUGUGGACUUCAAUUGCCUAAGAGAAAAUAGAGCCAGAGUCUUCUUAUUUUUAGGAGUGACUUCAAAGAAAGAGAUAAUGAAGAAUAGCUGAAGAAAACAUGCCUCUCCAAUGAUCUGUGACUAGUUCAAUAAAAGCUGGCAGUCAUCAUUCAGGAAGACAAAGCAUUUGCGUUUUGCAACCUAAAUACAGUAAAAAUUCUACAUUUUCUGUUGACUUAGAAAUUACAUCUGAAAGUUGAUCAAUAAACUCAACAGACUCUA
Molecule: long non-coding RNA, 1155 nt
Organism: Pseudopipra pipra
Lineage: Eukaryota; Metazoa; Chordata; Aves; Passeriformes; Pipridae
Exons: 2
Source: RefSeq, a predicted model, not a curated record